Molecule: ribosomal RNA, 390 nt
Filed under: uncultured bacterium
Lineage: Bacteria
Description: bacterial SSU rRNA
Rfam family: Bacterial small subunit ribosomal RNA
Source: RNAcentral
AGUCAAUAGAUACCCUGGUAGUCCACGCCGUAAACGAUGAGUACUAGGUGUAGGAGGUAUCGACUCCUUCUGUGCCGCAGUUAACACAAUAAGUACUCCGCCUGGGAAGUACGGUCGCAAGAUUAAAACUCAAAGGAAUUGACGGGGGCCCGGCACAAGCAGCGGAGCAUGUGGUUUAAUUUACGAAGCAACGCGAAGAACCUUACCUAGACUUGACAUCUCCUGAAUAGCGCAGAGAUGCGUGAAGCCCUUCGGGGUCGAGAAGACAGGUGGUGCAUGGUUGUCGUCAGCUCGUGUCGUGAGAUGUUGGGUUAAGUCCCGCAACGAGCGCAACCCCUACUUAUUAGUUGCUACCAUUAAGUUGAGCACUCUAAUGAGACUGCCCGGGUU